This 1053-nucleotide ribosomal RNA is filed under the name Triticum aestivum (bread wheat). RNAcentral's name for it is "partial small subunit ribosomal RNA". Lineage: Eukaryota; Viridiplantae; Streptophyta; Magnoliopsida; Poales; Poaceae. The record is from RNAcentral.
AUGCCAUUGCCGCUGCCCGCCGUGGGCACGGUCCCCGCGUCGGCGAUAGCUCCGGUCGCCGCCGCCGCGGCAGCAGCACCCCUUAGGUACCGUCCCAUACGACUCCGCGCAUCUCCCUCGACGGUUUCCUCCCCUUCAACCUCUGCGAUCUCCAGCCCGCCGCCCCCGCCGUCUGCGAGGCAUUCCCGCAAACACCUGGCGGGCAGAGGCGACGCCCCGGCGAGGCCCUCAAAGGGCCGGGUGUUCUUCCUCGACGUCAACCCGAUAUGCUUCCGCGGAUCCCAGCGUAGCCUCAGCGCCUUCGCGCGCUGGCUCGCGCUCUUCUUCACGCACGUCAGCCUCCGCGACCCCGUUGUCGCUGUCUUUGAUGGGGCAGGCGGGAACGAGUACCGGAGGCGGCUGCUGCCGUCCUACAAAGCGCACCGGACUCGCGGCGUAGGCACCGGUGCCGAUUCACGCGUGGUUGACGUGCUCCGCGAGUGCAAUGUUCCGGUUGUGCAAGUCGAUGGAUACGAGGCAGAUGAUGUAGUGGCUACCUUGACAGAGCAAGUAUUACAGAAAGGUUAUAGAGUUGUCAUUGCCUCACCAGACAAGGACUUCAAGCAGUUGAUAUCUGAAGAUGUUCAGUUAGUUAUGCCCAUUCCUGAGAUUGGCCGAUGGUCCUUUUAUACGCUGAGGCAUUAUGUUGCACAAUACAAGUGCGAUCCAACUGUAGAUUUGAGCCUCAGAUGCUUUAUGGGUGAUGAAGCGGAUGGUGUUCCCGGAAUCCAGCACCUGGCUCCUGGUUUUGGUCGCAAGACUGCAGUGAAACUACUGAACAAACAUGGUUCAUUAGAAAACCUACUUAAUACAGCUGCAGUUAGAACGGUAGGCAAGGAGUAUGCCCAGGAUGUUCUAGUCAAGCAUGCAGAUUACUUGCGGAAAAACUAUGAAGUUCUCAGCUUGAAGAGGGAUGUAAAUGUUCAGCUUGAUGACAGAUGGUUAUCAGCGAGGGACACUUGUAAUGACACCAGUGUGUUAUCUGACUUCAUUCUUAAAUUCAGCAAAGGAUAG